This 420-nucleotide ribosomal RNA is filed under the name uncultured Nitrososphaerota archaeon. Its description in RNAcentral is "bacterial SSU rRNA". It matches the Rfam family "Archaeal small subunit ribosomal RNA", at positions 459 to 879 of the family's 1478-position model. The record is from RNAcentral. Lineage: Archaea; Thermoproteati; Nitrososphaerota.
CAGCCGCCGCGGUAACACCAGCCCCUCGAGUGGUGGGGAUGAUUAUUUGGCCUAAAGCGUCCGUAGCCUGUCAGGUAAGUUUCCCGUUAAAUCUAACGUCUCAAGCGUUGGCCUGCGGGAAAUACUGUCUGGCUAGAGAGUGGGAAAGGUCUGCGGUAUUCUGGGGGUAGGGGCGAAAUCCUUUGAUCCCCGGAGGACCACCAGUGGCGAAGGCUGUAGACUAGAACACGUCUGACGGUCAGGGACGAAAGCUGGGGUAGCGAACCGGAUUAGAUACCCGGGUAGUCCCAGCCGUAAACGAUGCAUGCUAGGUGUUGGGUUGGCCACGAGCCACCCCAGUGCCGCAGGGAAGCCGUUAAGCAUGCCGCCUGGGAAGUACGAUCGCAAGGUUGAAACUUAAAGGAAUUGGCGGGGGAGCAC